This is a non-coding RNA of Oryctolagus cuniculus (rabbit), 634 nucleotides long. The record is from RefSeq and is a predicted model, not a curated record. NCBI's taxonomy places the organism in Eukaryota, Metazoa, Chordata, Mammalia, Lagomorpha, Leporidae.
CAUCAUUCACCAUAUCCAAAAUAUAGAAACAACCUGAAUGCCCAUCCACAGAUGGAUGGAUAAGCACAUAUUUAUUUCAGCCUUAGAAAGGAAUUGGGGGCUGACAUAUGCCUCAACCUAAAUAUCCCUUCAAUGCAUUAUCCUGAGUGAAAGAAGCCAGGCACACAAGACAAAUCUCGUAUGCUUAUAGAAGGUACUACAGUUAGGAAAACCAGUGGAGACAGGAAGUUCAGUAGAGGUUACCAGGAGCUGAUCCUGAGAGCAACCCCCAAUAAAAAUCCUGUGUGCAGAUGUCCAUCGGUUUCCCAGGUAACCCAGCUUCCUUCACUCCUUUAACCCUCCUGCGGACCUUAUGAGCAGACGAAUGGACCAAGCGGCUUGUGGAUGCUUCUCUGCUCCUGCAGCCAUGGGGGCCUCGCCAGGAUGCUGGUGCCAUGCUGCUUGGACCCUCCCAUCACUAGAGUUGAAGGCAGAUAAACCUCUGUAAGUUACCAGCCCUGAGUAUUUUCAGCACCACAAAAUGAGCUAAUGCACAAACCCUGGGGAUAUUUCCUACCUAAUGCAUGCCACACGUGGCCAGGACACAUCCAAGGACCUACCAGGAGCCUACAGCAUGGAAGCCCCCUACCCCUCA